AAAAGGGUUGCUGAAUGAUUAUGAAAUAAAUGUUGAUAGGGGGUUGUGCACAAACCCUUCUCUAAAUUUUUGUAAUAUUUUUACCAAGCAGUUGGCUCACCCUUUCCAUUUUUAAAAGAAAUCUACAAAUUCUACUUCUCCACAAUCAUUCUUCCUUAAAGAUUUUCUGUUCUGCUAUAACUGGAUUAUGAACUACAAGAGUCUUUGCUUUCUGACUCUCAGUAUUGUUAUAAUUUAUUAUGCUGCACGCCAGAGAAAAUGGGUUGAGCAUGAUCAGCUUUCUAAAUUCCACUGAUGUGUUUGAUCUUUGUAUUUUGCAGCUACCAUUUAUAGUGGGAAAAUGUGCCCAUUCCAUUUUCAUCCCACUUUGCAUAAAAACUGGAUAAUUAUUUUCACUGGAAUAUAACUGCUGAUGAUUCUGAAAGCAAAAUAAAAGAAAUCUUUGACAUUGUCUUAGCAACAGUUCAAGGAUAUAAACCACAAUCAGCCCUCUACAUUUGCUAAGGUUAUGGGGUAAAGGUUCUCUGUGGAAGUGAAAAACUGCUUUACCUGAGAGAACAACAGCUCUCCAGGAUUCUCUAGUUCUUCCAGCAUGACUCUAUGACCAACGUCCACUGGAAGCCGACCACAGAAUCAAAUCAGAGAACCUAGAAAUUUCCAGACAGGUGUUCUUUCUAUAAAUCUCUAGGUCUCCCAGCAUAAUUGCAGAAGGUUGACCAUAGGGUCACACUGGAGAGCCUAGAGAUUUCUAGUGAUAACAUUUUAAGUCAAAUCUGCAAAAAUCAAAACUGAAAAUGUGGAGGGACAGUGUGGAGGACUGGCUUGGUUCUUGACAUGUGAUAUUUGAAAUUCCCCUCAUGACUCCCCACGGAAUCACAAAAUUCAAUAGGUAACUUUGGGCAAUUUCUUCUACUCAGCCUUAUCUAUACAGUAUUGUGAAGAUAGAGUGGGAAGUCGAAAUACCAUUUAUAUUACUUGUAUUUCAUUGGAUUUUUGUCUCUCUUCCUCCUAUUGUGCAUAUGGUUGUGGCUGUAAGCCUUCAAGUUGUUUCUGAUUCAUGGUGACCCCAAGGUCCAGGUUUCUUGACAAUAUUUUGCCUUUCCUCUGAGGCUGAAAAGGUGUUACUUGUCUAAGGUUUCCAUGACUGAGUAGGGAUUCUGACCUGGUCCAACACCCAAACCACUUUUGUAUAAAGCUCAUCAUCCUGGCUUUUCAACCAUUCUGUAUCACUUUAGAGCAUGUUGUAUGUCCAUUCUGUGGGAAGAUUUAACAGAAGUUUUGGAUUGUAUCCAGUAGUAACAUUCUGCUAAUUGAAGAAACUGCUGCCAAAUUCCUCCUCUUCCUCCUGCUUACCCAGAGCCACCUCAAAACAGAUAAAAGAGGCAUGCAGAAAGACAGGAAUAAAGGAAAUUUGUAUGAACAAAAAUCCACUGUUUGAUGUCAUCUAUUGGCUUGGUGGAGGGUUUAUACCUAACAAGGAUUUGUUCUGCAAUUUUACUGGUCCAUGUAUUUUGGAUACAUAACCAUUUUUCACAGUAAGAGCAGUAAGAGUUAAUUUACUGUGCUAGAACUAAAUUGUUUUAUAAAUAUCACAGAAUCCCCAAAUAUACAUAUGGAUACUUAAGAAUAUUUAUAAUGCUGCUAUGAACUUAAAAAAAGCUUAAUGGAUUUCCUUUGCCCUAAGCCAAAUCCCUGAAAUUUGGCUGUGUGAAGAGAGUGAUAUGAAAUUAUAACCACAGCUAGCUGAUUAUAGAGCAGAUCAUUAAAUCCUAGAAGAUUUAGCACUCAGUUCAACAACUGUAUACAAAUCAUAUUGAGAAACACUCAAGAGUCUAUACUCAUGUUUUCACAAAUGCCCUGCAGGUACAUAUAAUGAGGGUGAGAAACACUGGGACACAUCCCAGUUCUAAGAGACUGUUUUAAAAGCAGAGUUGAGAAUUGAUUACGUUUUGCAUUACUGGGCUGCUGUGAGAAGGCCUCCGACAAUACAUUUUGCAUAAUUGUUAAACAGAAACGGCCGUGCAGAACAUUAAAAGAAUGCCAUAAUUUACUCAUUUACAAAAAUUCAGCUUCUUACCUUCAUGUUGCUUAUUAUGGCAACUACAGAGUGGGGGCCACCAUGGGGGGAAAGCAAGAAUCGUUGUUGUUGUUGUUAUGUUUAUUUAUACCCUGCUUUUUCUCUCCACAAAGGAGACCCAAAGAAACUCAGUGACAUUAUGCAUCACAAGGCAGGAUGGGAGACAAUGUGUGGGCAUAGAGCACAGCUCCAUCAUUCUUCCAUUUUCUUUGACAGUUACUCAGUCUACCCACUUACCCUCAUGGUUAAUAUUGGUCAGUAAUCAGACCAGCCCCCUCCCUCCUGACCUUCAGGAAGAAAGUAAACAUGUGGUUGUGGGACCAAGCCUUUGGAUAGAAAAUUUUAGUGCAAUAAGACAAUAAGGAAUAGUGAAAUGACAAAUGGAAUGGCCUUGGAUCAUGAUUUUGGAUGGUGUGAUUUUAAUAAUUGUUUAUAAAUUGAGUUGUUUUGAUGAUUUUGGUUUUAAUGUAACUGUUUAUUUUUAUUGUAUGUAUGUUUAUGGCAUCAAAUUGCUGCCUAACUGUAAGGCCGCUCUGAGUCCCCUUUGGGGUGAGAAGGGCAGGAUAUAAAUGAGGUAAAUAAAUAAAUAUAUAAAUCUUCUCCUUUAACCAUGACAAAGAAGGGUGUUUUCCCUAUCUUGUCCCAAUUCUCCAUUGUAAUAUGGGGCAAUUUACUUUGGGUGGUACCUUAAACAAGUUGACUGGAUUUAUUAAGCUUCUUUAAUAUUUAUUGCAUUAUGAAUUUUAUUUGUAAAAUUGUUAUUUAAUUGUAAAUAAUUAUCACCUUGGCUGCUUUUGGCAGAUUAAUGUGAAAAGAGGGAAAAUAACAGCGAGCACUCAGGGGAAUAUUUUGUGAAAGGGAGUUCUCCAGACUUCUCUGGAGAACUCAAGGAUGGGAAUAGGAACAACCUUUAAGAUUAGACUUGAGUGGCUUUUUCAUUUAUGGUUCAAGAUUUGAGAGGGAGAUCAGUAGUUUUAGACUUCCUGGGAUGGACUGACUGAGUGCCAGUUAAAUCUAUUGUUUUGUCUCUGGAAUCAGGAAUUGCUUGCUCUUGAAAUAUUGAAGGAAAAGUAAAUACAGUAGAGUCUCACUUAUCCAACAUUCGCUUAUCCAACAUUCUGGAUUAUCCAAUGCAUUUUUGUAGUCAAUGUUUUCAAUACAUUGUGAUAUUUUGGUGCUAAAUUCAUAAAUACAGUAAUUACUACAUAGCAUUACUGAGUAUCGAACUACUUUUUCUGUCAAAUUUGUUGUAUAACAUGAUGUUUUGGUGCUUAAUUUGUAAAAUCAUAACCUAAUUUGAUGUUUAAUAGACUUUUCCUUGAUCCCUCAUUAUCCAACAUAUUCGCUUAUCCAAUGUUCUGCCGGCCCGUUUAUGUUGGAUAAGUGAGACUCUACUGUACAUGUACCAUGGAGCUCUUUUUUGGAUCAGUUUAAAUAGUUAAUAAAGUGGCCCUUAGUUUACUCAUACAUUUAUAUCUCUGUUUCAAAUCUGAUGGUCAGUUUGGGUUAUCUCAAUUGAAUAAACAUGAAAUCUAUAUCAAGGGACCAACAUGACUUUUUGAGUGAAUCAUAUGAAUUUUGUCAAGAAAACAAAAGGUACAUUUUUGAAAAGUUAUUUUUGUGGCUACAUCUCCCCAACUACAAUGACUGUGGGAGUUGUAAUACAAAGAACUGUUACCAGCUCUGGUUUCUAAAUAUCUGUAUCUAUAUCUAUAUCUAAUCUAAUCUAAUCUAAUCUAAUCUAAUCUAAUCUAUCUAAAUCCAUAAUAAAAGUGAAAACCCGUAGCACUGAUGUCUGCUCACACAGUCAGCCUCCGGCCUCCACAAACAGGCUAUAGUUCCCAGGGUUAAGAAUCCUGCAAGUCACCCUUUUGCACUGACAUUGAGGUUACAGCGAGCUCCAUGAACAUGCAGCCCAGCCCCUGCCAAUGUCCUUCCCAAACACUACAGCCCACCACCCAAGGAAUGCUUUCGUUUGGGGACCAUUUCAUCCUAGAUUUUUCUUUUUCUUCCACCACAGGCAGGCAUUCCAGAGUUCUCCAUUGCUGUGGAAUUUGCAUGGCCCCGCCCACUGCCCUUCCCUUUCCAAUCUCUCUGCAUAACAAACAGAGCAAACUUACUGGAGGAGUUUAUGGAUUGACUCCACAUGGUGGAAGUUGUAGUUCACCCUGCAUCAAGUCAGAGCACUGUCACUCCUACUGGGGAAUAUAGAGGAGUUGUAGUUCACCUACACCCAGAACACUAUGAACCCAAAUAAUGAUGGCUCUCGACCAAACUUGCCAUGCAGACCUAAUAUGUCCAGAUUUGACUACUGGUGGGUUUGGAGGGGAACUGGACUGGAAGUUGAGGAGUAGUAGGAACUGGGAUUUAUAGUUCACUUGCAAUGAAUGAGCAUCAAACUUGGCACACAGAGCCCCCAUAACCAAUACAACAAAUUGGACAAGUUUGGGAAAAAGGGAGUUGUAGUUCACCUGCAACCAGAUAAACACUGACCCCCACCGACAAUGCACUAGGACCACACUUCACACAGAGAAGCCUCAUGACCUCCUGAACAUACUGCAGGUAUUUGUGGGAAGGGCCUUGAUUUUGAAAGUUGUAUUUCACCUCCAUCCAAAGACUACUGAACCCAGCCAAUGACGAAUCUAGACCAAACUUGCCACACAGACUGAAUAUUGUCUCCUGUGGAUACUGAUAGAUAUUUCGGGGCAAUUGCCCCAGGAAUCUGGAAGUUGCAGUACUUCACCCCCAUCCAGACAGCACUGCAGCACAACUGGUACACACACCCAAAAUGGCCAACUUAUCAUACUGGCAGGGUUUGGGGAGGAUUCAGCCACGAUUCUGGGAAUUGUAGUUUACCCACUCCAAACACAAUACAUAACAUUAAAAGACAAAUAAUACCAUUCUCAAAUGACCCGGGCAUCGCCGGGUCCCCAAGAUAGUCCAUAAUAAAAGUGAAAAAUCUGUAUGUGUGUAUGUGGCACGGGUGUCUGUUCAGACAGACAGCCUCCGGCCUCCACAAACAGGCUAUAGUUUCCAGUGCUGUGAAGCCACCAAGUCACUCCCUCACCUGACUUUGCAGGUUAUAGUGAGCACCACGAACAUGCAGCCCAAACCCUGCCAGUGUCCUCCACAAACACCAUCCUGCCCCGCACCCAAGUGAAGGGCCCAUUUCAUCCCCAGGGUUCCUUCAUUUGCAUGACCCCACCCACUGCCUCUACCUUAACUCUUUCUUACCAUUUCCUGGCACACAGUGAACAGAGGAAUUGAUCAGCAACUGAACAAGAGUUUAGGGGAGAAUUCACACCAUGAUUUACAACACUUGUACUUGACCUACAUCCAGAGAGUACUGUUCACCUAACCAACAAUGCGUCUAGACCACACUUGCCAGGGAUGAUGGGAACUUGUAGUACCUUCACUGGUACUGUGACCCCCACUGACAAUGGAUUGGGAUCAAACUUGGCACAGAGAAGCCCCAUGACCAACUGAACAUACUACAGGGGGUAGUGGGAAUGGACCUUGAUUUUGGGAGUUAUAGUUCACCUGCAUCCAGAAAGCACUGAACCCAGCUGACGUCAGAUCUCGACCAAACUUGGCACAUCGACCCAACAUGGCCAACUGUGCAUACAUGCCUGGUUUGGGGGUGAUUUAUCUCGGAUCUUGGAGUUGUAGUUCACCCUUAUCUAGACAGCACAGAACCCAGCUGAUGUCAGAUCUCGACCAAACUUGGCACACAGACCACCCAUGACCCACCCUACAUCCUGGCAUUGUUUGGAGGAGGAUGGACCAUGGACAAUCGCACUUGCAUAUGGAAGUUUUAGUUCACCCACACCCAUUGAACCCAGCUGACUUCGGAUCUGGACCAAACUUGCCACACAGCCCUAACAUGGCCAACUGUACAUACAGGCCUGGUUUUGGGUUGAUUGACCUUUGCUCUGGGAGUAGUAGUUCACCCUUAUCCAGACAACAUUGAACCCAGCCAACGACAGAUCUAGACCAAACUUGCCACAGAGAUGCCCCAUGACCAACUAAACAUACUGUAGGGGUUUAGGGGAAUUAAGAGAAGAUUUUGAUUUUGGGAGUUAUAGUUCACCUGCAUCCAGAAAGUACUGAACCCUGCUGACAUCAGAUGUCGACCACAUUUGGCACACAAACCCAACAUGGCCAAUUCUGCAUACAGGCCUGUUUUGGGGGUGAUUGUCUUGGGAAUCUGGAAGUUGUAGUUCACCCUUAUCCAGACAGCACUGAACCCAGCCAAUGACGGAUCUGGACCAAACUUAAGUGAUAUUUCCUAACAUCCCAAAACAAACAGUGCCUUCUUCUAAUAACCCGGGCAUUUCCGGGUCCCCAAGCUAGUUCAUAAUAAAAAUGAAUCUUCCUUUUCAGUCUGCACCCUGUUUUUAACCUGCUUCAAAUGUGUGAGUCUAUCUGUCUUCUUGUUUUUGACAGCCAGAAGACAUGAAACUACACAUUGAUUCUAUUGGGUCUCCUGUAGGACUGCGGUUGGACUACAAUUUCCACUUUCUGCUCUGGCCUGUGCACUCAGAGAGACAAAGGGAGCACUAAAAUGAGUUCCAUUCUUGGAGGAAAAACAAUCUGAAUAAGGACAAAAAGAUGUGCUAUUGGAUAGAUAGGCGAAUUUCAUAUUUCAACUUCAACUUUCAGUACUGUAAAUAGAACAAGGUUGCAAGAUUGAUAGCACAGAGUGCUGCUAUUACUCCAAUUUCACUUACUGAAAAUUACUUGGCAGCAAAUGAUCAGACUUGUUAAAUGUGAUCAUUGAAGUGUGGGUGAUUCCCCCCCCCCACACACAUGGAAAAAGAAGAGUACAAAUUUCAUGAAGCAAUCUGAACAAGUAAGUGAAAUCGCCACAAUAACAUCUACCAGGACUUAUGAAACUAAGAAUGGUGAAUGUCUUGCCUACAUUCACGAAGAUAAUUCUGAAAGGAACUAUUUGCAGGGGGAGGGUUUCUCUUCACAUGCUGGUCAUCUUCACAUGCUGUUCCAUUUUGCUGGCAGCCAUGUAUGCUCCUUUCCUCCUUCCCCUAUCGUAUGGUGGGGACAGGACAAGGCACGUUGACACCCCAUCAGAUGGGCGAAAGGGUGGCAAUGCAUGUUGCCCUAUUGCCCUUUCCCUCAUUAUAUGGGGGGAAAGAGAAGAAAAUGCAGGUAGCUCCAAAAAAAAAAAAACCACUUUCCUCUCUGUAGUGGCAGAGGAAACAUCUGGUGACACUUCCCCUCCACUUUGGGAGGAGAGUUGGCAGGGACAAGCCAGCCUCAUUUGAUGACGCUCAACAAGCCCUGUCCAAAAGAAGAAAAAGCAGACAAAAAACCCUGUGUGAAAAGGUCCUUAGUCUUAUAAUCACAACAUGUGUUUUGGGUGAAGAGAAUCCUUCUGAGUAGUUGCUCCCAGGAACUCCUCUUUGCUCUCCUUCUGCCAGCAAGCAAAACCUUUUUUUUUUGAGCAGGUUCUUGACUCAGAACUCACAUAUCAGAAGGGUAUAAUUUUAAAAUGCAUUAUGCUAUGUUUAAAUCAUUUGAAUUAUCCUUUCAAUGUGUUUUAAACUGAUUUAGAUUUUGAAAUUUUUAUACAGUUACUUAUUUGAUUGUUUUUAUUUUUACAUAAUAAGAUUUUUGCAAUACUUUAUAUUGCUGUAUUUUAUUUUUAGCCACUUUUGUUCUUGUGCCAGGAUGCAUUUGGAAUAUAAAUCAAUUAAUUCAGCGAAUCAAUAUAAAAUGUAAAUUUCCCUGCUUCAUGGAAUGAUCCUGGACUUAUCCACAGGUCAUAUAAAGAUCCAUAAUUUUGGCCCUCAAACUUGCCCUCGACUAAUACAUGAUGUCAACCAGAGGCGGUCCAACCAUAAGGCGAAAUAGGCAUUUGCCUGUGGCGCCAUCGUCCCGGGGGCACCAUCGUCCUGGGAGGAGGGCACCACUCUCCACCUCCUUCUCUUUCGGGCCUUCCAGCGGCCGCGCUGGGCCUUCCGGCCAGCGCAGGCCCAUCUUCGCACCACGCAAGCCCACCUUUGGGGCCUUCAGAGAUUGUGAGGUCUGUAGGAACUUGGAAGCUAGGUAUGUGGGGUUUAUAUAUCUGUAGAAGGUCCAGGGUGAGAGAAAGAACUUUUCUUUGAAGCAGGUGUGAAUGUUGUAAUUAAUCACCUUGAUUAGCAUUUAAUGGCCCUGUGGCUUCAAGGCCUGGCUUCUUCUUGCCUGAGAGAAUCUUUUUUUGGGAGGAGUUAGCUGUCCCUGAUUGUUUACUGUCUGGAUUUCUUCUGUUUUCAGAGUGUUGUUCUUUAUUUAUUGUCCUGAUUUUAGAGUUUUUUUUUAAUACUGAGGGCUAUCUGGGUUAUCUAAGUCCACACUGCCCUAUAUCCCUGUUCAAUGUUUAGUGCUAAAUUUGCAAAUAUAGUAAUUCCUACAUAACAUUACCAUGUAUUGAACUGCUUUUUCUAUUGAUUUGUUGUAAAACAUGAUGUUUUGGUGCUUAAUUUUUAAAAUCAUAAUGUAA
Anolis carolinensis (green anole) is the source of this 8579-nucleotide long non-coding RNA. RefSeq lists it as uncharacterized. The record is from RefSeq and is a predicted model, not a curated record. Lineage: Eukaryota; Metazoa; Chordata; Lepidosauria; Squamata; Anolidae. The transcript has 3 exons.